CGUACCGCUGCAGAUAUNGUUACAGCCCCAACGACGUUAGGCAUGGGAUAAUGGAAUAGGACCCUGUCCUCCUAUUUUCAGUUGGUUUUGGCAGCGCGAGGACUAGGGUAAUGAUUAAUAGGGAUAGUUGGGGGCAUUAAUAUUUAAUUGUCAGAGGUGAAAUUCUUGGAUUUAUGAAAGAUUAACUUCUGCGAAAGCAUCUGCCAAGGAUGUUUUCAUUAAUCAAGAACGAAAGUUAGGGGAUCGAAGACGAUCAGAUACCGUCGUAGUCUUAACCAUAAACGAUGCCGACCAGCGAUUAGGAGACGUUGAAUACAAAACACCACCAUCGGUGCGGUCGUCCUUGGCGUCGGUCUUUCGGGGCCGGCGCGGGGACGGCUUAGCCCGGUGGCACCGGUGAAUGACUCCCUAGC
Molecule: ribosomal RNA, 413 nt
Filed under: Acanthamoeba sp. MN-2012
Lineage: Eukaryota; Discosea; Longamoebia; Acanthamoebidae
Description: SSU rRNA
Rfam family: Eukaryotic small subunit ribosomal RNA
Source: RNAcentral